Molecule: long non-coding RNA, 227 nt
Filed under: Brassica napus (rape)
Lineage: Eukaryota; Viridiplantae; Streptophyta; Magnoliopsida; Brassicales; Brassicaceae
Description: long non-coding RNA (BNAP_LNC016175)
Source: RNAcentral
UAUCAUUUAUCCAAUCACCAAACUUUAGAGAAUCCUCAGACAAUCUCUCAUUCCCACCACUCCUUUCAUCUAUCCUCACUAUUGUAUUAAAGUCUCCCCCAACGAACACCGGACCCUCCGCAUUACGCAAAACUUCUUCUAAAGCAGCCCAUAAGCCACUUCUACGGCUCGGUGAAGGGGCCGCAUACACAACAAUCAGAUUAAUCACUUUUCCUCCAUUCCCGAUU